CGCGGCCCCGCCGGGCGGGCGGCCCCGGCAGGCGCAGGAAGCCCCGCCGCCCGCCACCUCGCCCGCCCGCCGCCGAGCUGCCCCCGCCCCGCGCCGCCGCUCCGGCAGCGGCGGUGCGCAGGUAAUGGCAGGGCGGAGGAGGCGCGGGCGGGAAGCGGCAGAAAGUCCGGUUAACUCCUUUGCGUUCGGGGCCGGCUGCGGCUGGAGGCUGCCGGGGGUCGGAGAGAGGGCUGCGAGGCUCUGCACCGCCGUGUCCCGGGCUCAGCGCGCUGCCGGUGGAGCCGGGCUGCUCGUCUCAGGUGCACGGCCGGCUCCCAGGCGUCCCGGUCCUUCCGAGAGGAGCUGGGCAGGGAGCCCUCGAUGCCAGAAACCGACUGAUUUGCUGCUUGUAUAGAGAGAAAAGAAGCAUUCUUCUGCCCAAGGCACUUAUCUGGAACACGGGACCUUGCACGCCGGGGGCUUUAUUUCACCUCUGGGGUCUGUAUCGACCACCUCAGUGGCACAGGUGUUUCCUUCCUUUCUGCUGGGCUCCAGUCCAAAGGAACUUGUGCGGAAAGGAACUUGUGAGGUUCAGAGACACGAAUGUAAGAUGGGGUUCUCCUUACAUACAUCAUCUGCCACACAGCCACAAAUAAGGCUGACCUGCUCCUCCAGGCUGGAUUCGCCAGGUCCUAAAUGUCUCAGAGAAGAGGAGAAGAGACCAAAACCAGGUCUGGCCAUGAAGUAUUUGACAAAAUAGAGUUUCAUUUGAAAAAAAAAUAAAUAAAUAAGAAAAACAAAG
This 781-nucleotide long non-coding RNA is filed under the name Gallus gallus (chicken). Lineage: Eukaryota; Metazoa; Chordata; Aves; Galliformes; Phasianidae. The record is from RNAcentral.